CAGUCGCCGCGGGAAUACGUAGGUGGCAAGCGUUAUCCGGAAUUAUUGGGCGUAAGGCGCGCGUAGGCGGUCUUUUAAGUCUGAUGUGAAAGCCCACGGCUCAACCGUGGAGGGUCAUUGAAAACUGGAAAACUUGAGUGCAGAAGAGGAAAGUGGAAUUCCAUGUGUAGCGGUGAAAUGCGCAGAGAUAUGGAGGAACACCAGUGGCGAAGGCGACCUUCUGGUCUGUAACUGACGCUGAUGUGCGAAAGCGUGGGGAUCAAACAGGAUUAGAUACCCCUGUAGUCCCUGUCUCUUAUAC
RNAcentral lists this ribosomal RNA (301 nucleotides) under uncultured bacterium. Its description in RNAcentral is "partial 16S ribosomal RNA". It matches the Rfam family "Bacterial small subunit ribosomal RNA", at positions 509 to 807 of the family's 1533-position model. The record is from RNAcentral.